Molecule: ribosomal RNA, 247 nt
Filed under: uncultured bacterium
Lineage: Bacteria
Description: partial 16S ribosomal RNA
Rfam family: Bacterial small subunit ribosomal RNA
Source: RNAcentral
CACGCUGUAAACGAUGGGUACUAGAUGUUGCAGGAAUUGACCCCUGCAGUGUCGACGCAAACGCAUUAAGUACCCCGCCUGGGAAGUACGGUCGCAAGAUUAAAACUCAAAGGAAUUGACGGGGGCCCGCACAAGCGGUGGAGCAUGUGGUUUAAUUCGAUGCAACGCGAAAAACCUUACCUAGAUUUGACAUCCACUGACAUCCGUAGAAGUACGGCUUUCCCUUCGGGGACAGUGAGACAGGUGC